Molecule: ribosomal RNA, 292 nt
Filed under: Candida albicans
Lineage: Eukaryota; Fungi; Ascomycota; Pichiomycetes; Serinales; Debaryomycetaceae
Description: partial 28S ribosomal RNA
Rfam family: Eukaryotic large subunit ribosomal RNA
Source: RNAcentral
UUUGACCUCAAAUCAGGUAGGACUACCCGCUGAACUUAAGCAUAUCAAUAAGCGGAGGAAAAGAAACCAACAGGGAUUGCCUCAGUAGCGGCGAGUGAAGCGGCAAAAGCUCAAAUUUGAAAUCUGGCGUCUUUGGCGUCCGAGUUGUAAUUUGAAGAAGGUAUCUUUGGGCCCGGCUCUUGUCUAUGUUCCUUGGAACAGGACGUCACAGAGGGUGAGAAUCCCGUGCGAUGAGAUGACCCGGGUCUGUGUAAAGUUCCUUCGACGAGUCGAGUUGUUGGGGGAAUGCACC